Molecule: unclassified non-coding RNA, 307 nt
Filed under: plant metagenome
Description: partial contains 5.8S ribosomal RNA, internal transcribed spacer 2, and large subunit ribosomal RNA
Rfam family: 5.8S ribosomal RNA (bases 1-105)
Source: RNAcentral
GAAAUGCGAUAAGUAAUGUGAAUUGCAGAAUUCAGUGAAUCAUCGAAUCUUUGAACGCACAUUGCGCCCGCCAGUAUUCUGGCGGGCAUGCCUGUUCGAGCGUCAUUUCAACCAUCAAGCCCCCGGGCUUGUGUUGGGGACCUGCGGCUGCCGCAGGCCCCGAAAACCAGUGGCGCUCGCUGUCACACCGGGCGUAGUAGAUUUUUCGUCUCGCCCAGGGCGUGCUGCGGGUUCCGGCCGUUAAAAAGCCUCUCUUUUAACCCAAGGUUGACCUCGGAUCAGGUAGGAAGACCCGCUGAACUUAAGC